UGUUUCUCUCCCUGCUCUGUGCCUGAAGCAUCCCUUCCUCCUACAGACAAUCUGAUGGGUCCUUUUAACUCCCAACCAUUUCUCGGCCCUUCCUACCCUUUUCCAUGUGGUCUCUUCUCUAUAUUUAGUUGUGGACAGCAUGUUCUGUCCAUCUUCAAGUAAUUUUCUGGAUUAUUUAUGCUGAUAAGGCUGUUCUUUAGUUGUAUUCAUGGGACAAGCUGAUCCAUCCACUUGGAGACCGUUCAGAGCCAACAGGAGGUCUGGGUUUCUACAAGUUUCUCAAAUGAGAGAAACUUGAGCUAAGAAGUAUGAGGAGAAUGAUGCUGUUGACAGGUUUUAGAACUGAAAGUCCUGGAUCCCAUGCUCCCAGAUGGAGAGCGGGGAGACAACACAUGCUUUUCCCAGCACCAGAUCCCAGUUC
This is a long non-coding RNA of Mustela erminea (ermine), 421 nucleotides long. RefSeq lists it as uncharacterized. The transcript has 3 exons. The record is from RefSeq and is a predicted model, not a curated record. Lineage: Eukaryota; Metazoa; Chordata; Mammalia; Carnivora; Mustelidae.